This 1262-nucleotide long non-coding RNA is filed under the name Vulpes vulpes (red fox). Its description in RNAcentral is "lncRNA (ENSVVUG00000001992.1)". The record is from RNAcentral. Lineage: Eukaryota; Metazoa; Chordata; Mammalia; Carnivora; Canidae.
AUCUGCUCACAUUACCUAGGAAAUUCCAAGGGGUUUAGGAGCCGGGUGACAGGAACAGAGAUGAACGCUAAACAUGUAUUUCUUAUGAGUCACAGUAUCACACAAAGCUUGGUGGAGAAAGGAUGGGUAUGGGGGGGGGGCAGUUAGGGACCCCCAUAGAAGAGGACUGGGAAGGAAUGAGGUCAGGAUUAGUGGAGCCAGAGAGAUCCUGUGUGACUGGCCAGGAGGCCUGGCCCCUAUCGGGAAACCAUAGAUAAAAGAGCUUCAGUGACAGGAGAGGCUCCAAAGUGACCACAGACUCCCCCACAAAGGGAACCUGGCUCCGCAGGCGGCUGGACCUGCAGGCACUGAUGCAACACACAACUGUGACAUGCCAGGCAGGCUGUCCCCUGCUCUCCCCCUCCCCCUGCCCCCCAGGAACAGCCGCCCCUCUCCUAGAAGGGGGAAGGGGAUGGAGGGUGAAGCCAGAGAACUAGACUCUUCCUCUGUGCCUGCAACUUCCUCUGCCUAACUGGAAGAGGGAGAUGCUUUCAACUGAAUGGAGCUUGGAGUUGUGAUAUCCCACUGGCAAGCUCCCCAGAUCCUCCAGGGAGCAGACCCCGGGCACUGCAUACCACCUAGGAGCCCAGCCAGCCUUCUGGAACAACAGCAACUGGCAACUUUCCCUUCCCUGCCCUGGCCAUGCUGAGCCUUCACUCCUGCAGCCCUUCUCUGUCUCUUCAACCAGGAAGACCCCACCUGCUGCAGUGCUCCAAGGCUCCUCAUAACUGUCCCAGUAGGCAGGUGUCUUGAAAGAAGACUAAAGGAAUUGACCAAACAAAGAACAAUGGUGUGACCUAUGGCAACGUUUGCUGAGCUGCUCUCCCUGUAGUAACUGCCUGCCCCUCAAAGACCUUUCUGGAAGAUACCCCAACCAUCACUAUUUGUAUGGCAGCAGUACCCUAUUGUAAUUCAUCUAAGCACUGGAACAGGUUGUUUAGGUGUUAUAUGGAUACAUUACAAAAUUCAGAGAACAAAAGGAUGGAAAGCUUUCUCACUGCAAGUGAAACAUCAAGCCUCUUUCUCUCCCCUUUCCCACCCAACUAACUCCUUGACUAUUACAACAUGACUACUACUACAACCCCUUGAUGAGCUCCCCAAACCCCAUCUGGUUCAGGUGAAGGAAGAGGGAAGGGAAUAUCUGGAAAGACUUUCUGGAGAAGGUGGCAUCUUGGUUCCUAUAAAAUAAUAAAAAAUGUAUGUAUUAGUCUCUACCCCUGAUU